RNAcentral lists this ribosomal RNA (429 nucleotides) under uncultured bacterium. RNAcentral describes it as "bacterial SSU rRNA". It matches the Rfam family "Bacterial small subunit ribosomal RNA", at positions 29 to 506 of the family's 1533-position model. The record is from RNAcentral.
ACGAACGCUGGCGGCAGGCCUAACACAUGCAAGUCGAGCGCACCGCAAGGUGAGCGGCGGACGGGUUAGUAACGCGUGGGAACGUACCCUUUUCUACGGAAUAGCUUCGGGAAACUGAAGGUAAUACCGUAUACGCCCUUUUGGGGAAAGAUUUAUCGGAGAAGGAUCGGCCCGCGUCUGAUUAGAUAGUUGGUGGGGUAAUGGCCUACCAAGUCUACGAUCAGUAGCUGGUUUGAGAGGAUGAUCAGCAACACUGGGACUGAGACACGGCCCAGACUCCUACGUGAGGCAGCAGUGGGGAAUCUUAGACAAUGGGCGCAAGCCUGAUCUAGCCAUGCCGCGUGAGUGAUGAAGGCCUUAGGGUCGUAAAGCUCUUUCGCUGGGGAAGAUAAUGACGGUACCCAGUAAAGAAACCCCGGCUAACUCCGU